This 254-nucleotide ribosomal RNA is filed under the name uncultured bacterium. RNAcentral describes it as "partial 16S ribosomal RNA". It matches the Rfam family "Bacterial small subunit ribosomal RNA", at positions 524 to 776 of the family's 1533-position model. The record is from RNAcentral.
UACGAAGGGGGCUAGCGUUGCUCGGAAUCACUGGGCGUAAAGCGCACGUAGGCGGCUUUUUAAGUCAGGGGUGAAAUCCUGGAGCUCAACUCCAGAACUGCCUUUGAUACUGAGAAGCUUGAGUCCGGGAGAGGUGAGUGGAACUGCGAGUGUAGAGGUGAAAUUCGUAGAUAUUCGCAAGAACACCAGUGGCGAAGGCGGCUCACUGGCCCGGUACUGACGCUGAGGCACGAAAGCGUGGGGGAGCAAACAGG